Molecule: long non-coding RNA, 340 nt
Filed under: Mytilus galloprovincialis (Mediterranean mussel)
Lineage: Eukaryota; Metazoa; Mollusca; Bivalvia; Mytilida; Mytilidae
Source: RNAcentral
UUUAUUUAAUUAUCAAAAUGGCGGAUUUUACUUAUUACCUAAUUUGACUGAUUUCCAUCGACCCAUAUACUUUUAUUCCAAAGCUAGAAUCCCAACUCCAAGUGUCGUCUGUUUACUCUACUGUCUAAUGAACAAUAUCACGUGUCUAACAAGGAGAUUCCCCGUCAGUCUACAAAAUCUAUGGAACGCAAUCAGUGUCAUAAUCUUAUAUGUUUUCAAUGUAUUUUAGCGAUAAGAGAUGAGUUUUGUUUCAUCAAAUGAACUUCCAAGAAGUAAUUGAGAACAGUUUUUGUAAAUUAAGUUCAACUUACGUUGAUAACUAGGUUUUAUAGAGGAUUUG